Poeciliopsis prolifica (blackstripe livebearer) is the source of this 607-nucleotide long non-coding RNA. RefSeq lists it as uncharacterized. NCBI's taxonomy places the organism in Eukaryota, Metazoa, Chordata, Actinopteri, Cyprinodontiformes, Poeciliidae. The transcript has 4 exons. The record is from RefSeq and is a predicted model, not a curated record.
AGCGCCGAUUCACAGUCCCUCAGAUUCACAGCACCUUCCAGCACUUCUGGAGCCAUGUAGCGGAUUGUCCCCACCUGGCAAUGGAGGAACAAACAGCCGGAGCAGACGCUGUGUAAUCCCUGGAAUGCAGUAGGACGACAUGGAUGGCGGGAGAGCGUGUCUGCAGAGGAGAUGGGCCGGCGUUGACACCGCCCUGAUCUCGCCACACACGGCGCUUUCAUUCACAGGUGUGGCGCAGGCCAAAGCAGUGCUUGCCCUUGGCACAUCGGAUGGUGGUGUUCUCUGGGGAGACCCUGCCUUCGCCCUCCGCCACUCGCUUGACCUCCCACUGCGGCAGCUGGUCCGUGAAGGCACACUCCCUCUCCUCACCCUGCGCAGCUGACAACACACAAAGAAGGUGACCCUAACUCACAUGAACAUCCACAUUGCGCAGCUCAGCCGCUUCAUCCCGACGUUGCAGAGACGGGCUUUCCGGGUUGCUGGGACAACAUCUACUGGUCCAAGGCCACCGCUGUUGGUUUGCUCAGCUACUGGACAUAGUGGCUAAAAUAGGUGGCCCCGCUAGCCAGUGUAGGAAGGUGGGGCACUCUGAUAUUGUAAAUAAAAA